RNAcentral lists this ribosomal RNA (229 nucleotides) under uncultured bacterium. Its description in RNAcentral is "partial 16S ribosomal RNA". It matches the Rfam family "Bacterial small subunit ribosomal RNA", at positions 568 to 796 of the family's 1533-position model. The record is from RNAcentral.
UCCGUAGGCGGGCAAUUAAGUCAGAGGUGAAAUCCCACAGCUCAACUGUGGAACUGCCUUUGAUACUGGUUGUCUUGAGUUACAGUGAAGUAGAUAGAAUAUAUAGUGUAGCGGUGAAAUGCAUAGAUAUUACAUAGAAUACCGAUUGCGAAGGCAGUCUACUAACUGUAUACUGACGCUAAUGGACGAAAGCGUGGGGAGCGAACAGGAUUAGAUACCCUGGUAGUCC